Neogale vison (American mink) is the source of this 364-nucleotide long non-coding RNA. RefSeq lists it as uncharacterized. The transcript is spliced from 2 exons. NCBI's taxonomy places the organism in Eukaryota, Metazoa, Chordata, Mammalia, Carnivora, Mustelidae. The record is from RefSeq and is a predicted model, not a curated record.
AAAGGGCGAUACAUUCGUCCGCCUUAAUGACUGCGCGGGGGCCGCGGCGGAGCGUCCCCGGGGAUCUCCAACCUCCGGGGCCGUCCUGAGCCCGUGUCCCCAAGGAUGGUCCAGCCUUCCUUGUGCACGGCCUAAGAAUAGAGCUCCCAUUCACACAAGGUGGCAGCAAGAUCUGUUCAAGAUGGAAAUUGGACUAUGUAAUGCUCAUGAAUCAUGCCAGACCAUCAAUUCCAGGUGGACCCUAUGCCCCAGAGCCAUGAAGAAAACUGAAGCAUUUUCAGAAGGCAAUGGACAGGACAAGGGAAGGAUUUCUUCAGCAAGAUGUCAAAAGGAAAGAAAUAAAGGGAAAUAUGGAUCAAUUUGA